This 845-nucleotide ribosomal RNA is filed under the name Babesia microti. RNAcentral's name for it is "SSU rRNA". It matches the Rfam family "Eukaryotic small subunit ribosomal RNA", at positions 49 to 905 of the family's 1831-position model. Lineage: Eukaryota; Apicomplexa; Aconoidasida; Piroplasmida; Babesiidae. The record is from RNAcentral.
GCAUGCAUGUCUAAGUAUAAGCAAUUAUACCGCGAAACUGCGAAUGGCUCAUUAUAUAAGUUAUCGUUUAUUUGAUAGUACCUUACUACUUGGAUAACCGUGGUAAUUCUAGAGCUAAUACAUGCUAAAAAUCCCGACUUCGGAAGGGAUGUAUUUAUUAGAUUAAAAACCAAUGCCCUUCGGGGCUCACUGGUGAUUCAUGAUAACUCCUCGAAUCGCAUGGCCUUGCGCCGGCGAUGGUUCAUUCAAAUUUCUUCCCUAUCAACUUUCGAUGUUUGGGUAUUGGCCAAACAUGGUUGCAACGGGUAACGGAGGGUUAGGGCUCGACCCCGGAGAAGGAGCCUGAGAAACGCUACUACAUCCAAGGAAGGCAGCAGGCGCGCAAAUUACCCAAUCCCGACACGGGGAGGUAGUGACAAUAAAUACUGAUACAGGGCUCUUUUGGGUCUUGUAAUUGGAAUGAGUACAAUUUAAAUCCCUUAACGAGGAACAAUUGGAGGGCAAGUCUGGUGCCAGCAGCCGCGGUAAUUCCAGCUCCAAUAGCGUAUAUUAAAGUUGUUGUGGUUAAAAAGCUCGUAGUUGAACCUUGGGCCUGGCUGGCCGGUCCGCCUCACCGCGUGUACUGGUCCGGCCGGGCCUUUCCCUCUGUGGAACCCCAUGCCCUUCACUGGGUGUGGCGGGGAAACAGGACUUUUACUGUGAAAAAAUUAGAGUGCUCCAGGCAGGCCUAUGCUCGAAUACAUUAGCAUGGAAUAAUAGAAUAGGACGUGUGGUUCUAUUUUGUUGGUUUCUAGGACCGCCGUAAUGAUUAAUAGGGACAGUCGGGGGCAUCAGUAUUCACUGUA